This is a non-coding RNA of Dreissena polymorpha, 82 nucleotides long. Lineage: Eukaryota; Metazoa; Mollusca; Bivalvia; Myida; Dreissenidae. The record is from the annotation of a RefSeq genome assembly.
GUUGUCGUGGUCGAGUGGUUAAGGCGAUAGACUAGCAAUCUUUUGGGAUCUGCCUGCGCAGGUUUGAUUCCUGCCGACAACG